GGGGGGUGCCCUAAAACAGGCAAGUCGAAGGUGGUGGUUUUUNAUACCCAUACGAAAGUAUCUUAGUGGCGAACGGGUGAGUAAGGUUUUGGUGACCUACCCCAAAGUGUGGGAUAACAGUUGGAAAGAACUGCUAAUACCCCAUGUGGUUAUCGGAUUUAGAAACUGAUAAUUAAAGGACCAAUUUGCUUUGGGAGGGACGUGCGUCCCAUCAGGCUAGUUGGUGAGGUAAUGGCUCACCAAGGUUACGACGGGUAGGGGACCUGAGAGGGUGACCCCCCACAAUGGAACUGAAACACGGUCCAUACACCUACGGGACGCAGCAG
RNAcentral lists this ribosomal RNA (326 nucleotides) under uncultured bacterium. RNAcentral describes it as "bacterial SSU rRNA". It matches the Rfam family "Bacterial small subunit ribosomal RNA", at positions 39 to 354 of the family's 1533-position model. The record is from RNAcentral.